AGCUCUGUAGUUCAGUGCAAGAACAAUAUCCUUCUAAGGCAUAUGUCACAGGUUGGAAUCCUGUCAGAGCUGCCA
Molecule: transfer RNA, 75 nt
Filed under: Thomasclavelia ramosa
Lineage: Bacteria; Bacillati; Bacillota; Erysipelotrichia; Erysipelotrichales; Coprobacillaceae
Description: tRNA-Arg
Rfam family: tRNA
About the family: Transfer RNA (tRNA) molecules are approximately 80 nucleotides in length.
Source: RNAcentral